CCCCUCCUAGUUUUAACUUACACAGCCUAUAUACCGCCGUCGUAAGCUUACCCUGUAAAGGACUAAAAGUAAGCCUAAUCAAUUAUUAUUCUAAACGUCAGGUCGAGGUGUAGCUAAUGAAGGGGGCAGAGAUGGGCUACAUUCACUAAUUUUAGUGAAAACGAACGACUAUACUGAAAUGCAUGUCCGAAGGAGGAUUUAGAAGUAAGCUGAGAAAUAGAGUGUCCAGCUGAAUUUUGGCUCUGAAGCACGUACACACCGCCCGUCACUCUCCCCAAAAAUAAUUAUAUUUUAAUUAAAACAUCACUUAAAAUAAAGGGGAGGCAAGUCGUAACAAGGUAAGUGUACCGGAAGGUGUACUUGGAGCA
Molecule: ribosomal RNA, 368 nt
Filed under: Parapercis hexophtalma (speckled sandperch)
Lineage: Eukaryota; Metazoa; Chordata; Actinopteri; Uranoscopiformes; Pinguipedidae
Description: mitochondrial SSU rRNA
Rfam family: Bacterial small subunit ribosomal RNA
Source: RNAcentral